Lutra lutra (Eurasian river otter) is the source of this 107-nucleotide small nuclear RNA. The record is from RefSeq and is a predicted model, not a curated record. Lineage: Eukaryota; Metazoa; Chordata; Mammalia; Carnivora; Mustelidae.
GUGCUCGCUUUGGCUGCACAUUUACUGAAAUUGGAAUGAUACAGAGAAGAUUAGCAUGGCCCCUGCACAAGGAUGACAUGCAAAUUCAAGAAGCAUUUCAUAUUAAA